UACGUAGGAUGCACGCGUGGUCCGGAUUUACUGGGAGUAAAGCGCGCGCAGGCGGCUCUUUAAGUAUGGCGUGAAAUCUCCCUGCUCAACGGGGAGGGUGCGUUGUAGACUGAGGAGCUUGAGGUCGGUAGAGGGGGGUGGAAUUGCUGGUGUAGCGGUGAAAUGCGUAGAGAUCAGCAGGCACAGGCGUGGCGAAGGCGGCGCCCUGGGCCGUACCUGACGCUGAGACGCGAAGGCUAGGGGAGCGACCGGG
This 253-nucleotide ribosomal RNA is filed under the name uncultured bacterium. RNAcentral describes it as "partial 16S ribosomal RNA". It matches the Rfam family "Bacterial small subunit ribosomal RNA", at positions 524 to 776 of the family's 1533-position model. The record is from RNAcentral.